GCAGCAGCUGCCACUGAGAGGUCAGCUGUGGGCAGAGAUGGAGCGGUGGCAGUCGCCGCCACUUGGCCAAUUCCAGAGGCCCAGAAGGCCAAGCGGCACCGGACUUGGCUACAAGUGUCUGAGCCGUCACUUGGGACCAGAUUUCCAUCCAGGUCAACGUGGACAGGAAGCAAGGUUCAGAGGACAUCUCAAGACCGCCCUGCCCUUCUGAGAGAUGUGAACCAGGGCCUCAGGCAUUGCUGAUCUCUUUACCCUGUGGCUGUCAGUGCACGAAGGAGCCUGUUUGUAACACACACAGGCCGAGAGAGUCCUUUGAAAUGUUAAGGAAUGAUGGUACCAAAGGCUAGCUCGAAGGGUGCCACCACAAUAAAGUGGGAACGAGGAGAAAAAGGACCUGGCAUUGUGCUUCCAGAAAAUUCAGGAUGAAAGGGCUUGUUCAAGCUCACACCUCAAGAUGGAUCUCCUGAGACUUUCAAACCACUGAGAGCUGGGAGAAAAGAAGGGGAAACAGAAGUGAUGGCAGGAAAAGGAAUGGGGGGAAAAGGCCCCUCUCCAGACAACAUCCACAAGGCCUAGGGAAGCUCUGGUUCCUGACCCCUCACCCUGUCGAGAAGCUGCCAACACAGGAAAAAGUCAACUUCACAGGGGUUCCUUCAAAUGGGGGUGGGGUGGCACACUACCAAGGGAUUAAAGCAGCAACCCCUCCUGGAAGGAAGGAAUCCAGUUGUAGGGAUAUGGAUUUACAAAGGGAGUCAUCCACACUCCAGACAAGACGCAGCAACAGAAAAGGAAAACUUCGGUUCACGCAGACACACCCUACUGUUCGCAGUGUUCACUCUUCUCUCUCUGCUUCCUCUUCCUGCCUGAGAGGACACCUACAUUCUCCAACUACCCAGGUAGGCCUACACAACUCUCCUGGAAACAGCCCUGAAGAGGGCAGCCUUGGAAAGCUGAGGUCUUUUAAGAUCUCUAGCUCACACACCUCUCAGCUGAUGGAAUGAACCAAAAUAACAGUAAUCUGAUACGGCGGUUCUAACAAUGGACGCUUAGACCCUGGGUCACGAGGUACUUCGCUAUACAUAAAAAAUCCUGGUAGAGGCUGAGUUCAGAGUUGCUCCACAUCCCACACAAACAUUUCUGGGGUCCUUUGGAGGGCUAGCUUAAGAUCCUUUUCUAACUCUUCAGAAUAUUCUGAAUUGGCACAUAGAAUGUAUUCAUAUAUGCUGGGUAUAGUACGACAUUUAGAUUCAUGUGUACAACAUGUGCUGAACAUACCAGGGUCACCAGUAUGCCUGGCACUGUCUUGAUGUUGCAGGUGCUCAAAGUCUUUGUUUUUAAAUGAAGUCUUAGUGACUAGUCACCUUGCUGAAGUAUGAAACAUAGACCACACUCCUCUCAGCUAUGUUUCUGCACCCUAACUAACCUGUCUCCUCUUCUUCCUCCCCUUCCCAAACCCUAGUCACCACUGUUUGCAGCGAUCCUUCUAUGAGGUCAACUUAGCUUUCAUGUAUGAGCCCGGACAUACAUUAUUUGUCUCUCUGUGCCUGGCUUAUUUCACUCAACAUAAUGUCCUCCAAUAUGGCCUCCAUUCAUGUUUGACACAGAUCCAGGGUUUUGUUGCUUUUAUGGCUGAAUAGUACUCCACUGUGUACAUGUACCACCUUCUCCUCUGCCCAUCCUUUGAGGAGAAAAGACCUGUGCAAAAGGUCUCCAUCCAUGGACUUAAAAACUAUAUUACACUUAUUCAUUUUAUGUGUAUGGAUGCUUGCAUGUUUGUAUGUAUACCACCUACAUGCCUAGUAUCUAAGGAGGCUAAAGGUCAGAGCACGUCAGAGUGGUGGGUACAACUUGGACUUGGCUACAGAGCUACUGUGAGCCUCAGCUGUACCACUGAAGAAACCGAGUAGAGGAU
This is a long non-coding RNA of Meriones unguiculatus (Mongolian gerbil), 1912 nucleotides long. RefSeq lists it as uncharacterized. The record is from RefSeq and is a predicted model, not a curated record. The transcript is spliced from 3 exons. Lineage: Eukaryota; Metazoa; Chordata; Mammalia; Rodentia; Muridae.